GGCUAGGUAGCUCAGUUGGUAGAGCAGCGGACUGAAAAUCCGCGUGUCGGGGGUUCGACUCCCUCCCUAGCCACCU
RNAcentral lists this transfer RNA (76 nucleotides) under uncultured Gemmatimonadaceae bacterium. RNAcentral's name for it is "tRNA-Phe-GAA". It matches the Rfam family "tRNA". Rfam says of the family: Transfer RNA (tRNA) molecules are approximately 80 nucleotides in length. Their secondary structure includes four short double-helical elements and three loops (D, anti-codon, and T loops). The record is from RNAcentral. Lineage: Bacteria; Pseudomonadati; Gemmatimonadota; Gemmatimonadia; Gemmatimonadales; Gemmatimonadaceae.